This is a long non-coding RNA of Ostrea edulis (European flat oyster), 340 nucleotides long. RefSeq lists it as uncharacterized. The record is from RefSeq and is a predicted model, not a curated record. The transcript is spliced from 3 exons. NCBI's taxonomy places the organism in Eukaryota, Metazoa, Mollusca, Bivalvia, Ostreida, Ostreidae.
UAUUGACAGCAGUAGUCUAAGAAAUUGUGGAUUAAAGACACCAACAGCUAACAGAAAAUGAGACUGUUGUUUUUCCUCGCUCUUGUUCUCUUGGUUGCUAAUGUUAUGGAUGGCGUUACUGGAGACGACACAGGCAAUGGCGGCAAUACCGGGGACAAUAAUCAGGAAACCGAUCCCUACCGAGCAUUAGCAGAGGGUGGAGGAACCCCAUGGCAAAGCUCGGGGAAUCAUCCAUAAUCGUGAAUUUUAAAGGCUCUUAAGGAAAGCAACGGCAUGAUGACAAAUUUCCGAUUGUACGCUUGUGCUUCUUUGGAAUAAAAUAAGAUUAACGUCAACACAA